GGGUGCAGAUCACUUCUUUGUUACCUGUCAUGAUGUUGGGGUCAGGGCAACUGAAGGGCAUCCCUUUCUUGUAAAGAAUGCAAUCCGUGUCGUGUGCUCCCCUAGCUAUGAUGUUGGAUAUAUUCCGCAUAAGGAUGUUGCUCUUCCACAAGUUCUGCAGCCAUUUGCCCUUCCUGCUGGAGGAAAUGACAUUGAGAACAGGACAACUUUGGGUUUCUGGGCAGGUCAUAGAAACUCUAAAAUCAGGGUUAUCC
Molecule: unclassified non-coding RNA, 254 nt
Filed under: Hevea brasiliensis (rubber tree)
Lineage: Eukaryota; Viridiplantae; Streptophyta; Magnoliopsida; Malpighiales; Euphorbiaceae
Source: RNAcentral